Molecule: ribosomal RNA, 446 nt
Filed under: uncultured bacterium
Lineage: Bacteria
Description: partial 16S ribosomal RNA
Rfam family: Bacterial small subunit ribosomal RNA
Source: RNAcentral
AGCCAGACUCCUACGGGAGGCAGCAGUGGGGAAUAUUGCACAAUGGGGGAAACCCUGAUGCAGCGACGCCGCGUGAAUGAAGAAGUAUUUCGGUAUGUAAAGCUCUAUCAGCAGGGAAGAAAAUGACGGUACCUGACUAAGAAGCCCCGGCUAACUACGUGCCAGCAGCCGCGGUAAUACGUAGGGGGCAAGCGUUAUCCGGAUUUACUGGGUGUAAAGGGAGCGUAGACGGCAUGGCAAGUCAGAUGUGAAAGCCCGGGGCUCAACCCCGGGACUGCAUUUGAAACUGUCAGGCUGGAGUGCAGGAGAGGUAAGUGGAAUUCCUAGUGUAGCGGUGAAAUGCGUAGAUAUUAGGAGGAACACCAGUGGCGAAGGCGGCUUACUGGACCGAAACUGACGUUGAGGCUCGAAAGCGUGGGGAGCAAACAGGAUUAGAUACCCUGGUA